RNAcentral lists this long non-coding RNA (551 nucleotides) under Phoenix dactylifera (date palm). RNAcentral describes it as "long non-coding RNA (PDAC_LNC009895)". Lineage: Eukaryota; Viridiplantae; Streptophyta; Magnoliopsida; Arecales; Arecaceae. The record is from RNAcentral.
GGUGAUUUUUGGGCUAAGAACAAGUGAUGAAAUCCCGACCUUAUCUUUUUAAAUGGGUUCAGCCCUUAGAAUAUUUUAUGCUGAUGCCUUAUACUAUAUGCAACAAUAAAGAGUUUUUUUUUAAUGUUUUAUGAUAUGUCAUUAAAUUUCAUUGAAUAGGUGAUCAAGCAAAUUAUUUAUUUAUUUUUUUAAAAAAAAUUUAUGAGUUGAAGUUUGAAAUUUGAAUUCUGAAAUUUGAAAUUUGAAAUUUUAGAUUUUUUCUCUUUUUUUUUAAUUUUUGAAUAAUCAUCCUUGAUCUUUUCUUAAAGUUUUUUUUUCUUAAAUUUUCAAUUAGCAACAAGGGUUAAUUUGAUAUAAUAACAAUAAAAUUCUGAUUCUAAAAUAAUUAAAUGCAGAAAAUUCAAAACAGAAAGCAGCAAAGUUUCGUAUUAAUAUAAUGGUCUUAAAGAAUUUUCAAUCAGAUUUCAAAUUUGAGUUCAAUCAGACGGUUAAUUACUUUGAUAUCAGAGUUUGAUGCGGAAGAGGCGUACGGCUGGAUGAGGCUGUGGCUC